Molecule: long non-coding RNA, 1007 nt
Organism: Helianthus annuus (common sunflower)
Lineage: Eukaryota; Viridiplantae; Streptophyta; Magnoliopsida; Asterales; Asteraceae
Exons: 2
Source: RefSeq, a predicted model, not a curated record
GAAAAAGGAUUCUCUUAAAAAGCUGCAUGAUGAUCGGUCUGAAUCUAGAGAAUUCUAGCGGUUCGUUUUCAAUUGGAUGCACCAUCAGGAUUCGCGGUCUAAUUCCAAGUCGAUUUCACAUGUUCCAGCUUCCUCUUCAGGUUUGAAUUCUACAUCGCCAACUUCAAUUGCUCAAGCUCCUUCUUCCCUGGUACAAUUUGCGGAAGUUGAAUCACAAGUUGACGGCAAUUCGAUUGACCAUGACAGUUUGAUUGAACGUGUGGUGGAUCGCUCUUCAGAUUCUCAGUCGCGAUCGCUGUAUCAUGUGGCUCCAAUGAUUGCGAUCAUCUCCGGAUCUCCGGAUCUGAAGAACAGUCGUCUGGUCAGGGACGUUUGAUGUCGAUUAGGGCUAAUUGGGCUAUAUCUAACAUUGUACAAUGGAAAUUGGGCUCUAAACAUAUGAUGGGUGACGAUGUGGGGCUGAACUCAGUUGUGGAUCUGGAUUAUACUGAUCUGGGUCGUGGUGUGGGGCAGAAAAUGAUUGUGGUCCUGAUUUUUUCUAUUUAGAAACUGCAUGAGACGGGAAAAGCUCCAUUUGACAGGGGAAAUGCUUCAUUGUCUCACCGUCUUUUCAAUGGAAUGCGAUUGACAUUUUCGGCUACGUGGCACUUAUGGGUCGUGCAUGGGCAGCCUCGACCGCCAGAAGACUCAGCGGAGGAGGUCUUUACGAGGAUUCCGGGACACGCUUCUGAUCAAAGUCUUGAAGACAAGACUUUUUUAAAGGGGGGAGUAUUGAUAGGAACGUGAUAGAAAUUGCAUACUUAAUAGAAUAUUGUAAUUGUGAAGAGGGGGGGGGGGGGUUAGUGUAAUUACUACUUCUAUAAAUAAGGCAUUAGUCAUUAUAGAAAGUAGGAAGAGAAUUGGUUAGUUGUUAAGGCGUAUUGCCAUGUGCAUGAGAAGGGCAUAGCCCUGGGACCACUUGUGGUUGUUAUAUUUUUCUUGUAGAUCCUUUUGGAUCAUCUUCAUCA